UGGGGAAUUUUGGACAAUGGGCGAAAGCCUGAUCCAGCAAUGCCGCGUGUGUGAAGAAGGCCUUCGGGUUGUAAAGCACUUUUGUCCGGAAAGAAAUCCUUGGCUCUAAUACAGUCGGGGGAUGACGGUACCGGAAGAAUAAGCACCGGCUAACUACGUGCCAGCAGCCGCGGUAAUACGUAGGGUGCAAGCGUUAAUCGGAAUUACUGGGCGUAAAGCGUGCGCAGGCGGUUUGCUAAGACCGAUGUGAAAUCCCCGGGCUCAACCUGGGAACUGCAUUGGUGACUGGCAGGCUAGAGUAUGGCAGAGGGGGGUAGAAUUCCACGUGUAGCAGUGAAGUGCGUAGAGAUGUGGAGGAAUACCGAUGGCGAAGGCAGCCCCCUGGGCCAAUACUGACGCUCAUGCACGAAAGCGUGGGGAGCAAAACAGGAUUAGAUACCCCUGGUAGUCCACGCCCCUAAAACGAUGUCAACUAGUUGUUGGGGAUUCAUUCCUUAGUAACGUAGCUAACGCGUGAAGUUGACCGCCUGGGGAGUACGGUCGCAAGAUUAAAACUCAAA
Molecule: ribosomal RNA, 560 nt
Filed under: uncultured bacterium
Lineage: Bacteria
Description: partial 16S ribosomal RNA
Rfam family: Bacterial small subunit ribosomal RNA
Source: RNAcentral